RNAcentral lists this ribosomal RNA (480 nucleotides) under uncultured bacterium. RNAcentral describes it as "bacterial SSU rRNA". It matches the Rfam family "Bacterial small subunit ribosomal RNA", at positions 28 to 507 of the family's 1533-position model. The record is from RNAcentral.
GACGAACGCUGGCGGCGUGCUUAACACAUGCAAGUCGAACGGAACUCUUUGGAUCAAGACUUCGGUCAAGUGAAUUUGAGUUUAGUGGCGGACGGGUGAGUAACGCGUGAGGAACCUGCCUUUCAGAGGGGGACAACAGUUGGAAACGACUGCUAAUACCGCAUAACGCAUAAAGAUCGCAUGGUCUUUAUGCCAAAGAUUUAUCGCUGAAAGAUGGCCUCGCGUCUGAUUAGCUAGUUGGUGAGGUAACGGCCCACCAAGGCGACGAUCAGUAGCCGGACUGAGAGGUUGACCGGCCACAUUGGGACUGAGAUACGGCCCAGACUCCUACGGGAGGCAGCAGUGGGGAAUAUUGGGCAAUGGGCGCAAGCCUGACCCAGCAACGCCGCGUGAAGGAAGAAGGCUUUCGGGUUGUAAACUUCUUUUGUCAGGGAAGAGUAGAAGACUGUACCUGACGAAUAAGCCACGGCUAACUACGUG